CAAACAGAGUUAGAGCCAGAGAGUGGGAGAGCGUGCGUCUCUCUUUCUGCGUGUGUGUGUGUGUGUGUGUAUUAUGUAGCGGAAUGUUUCGUGUGUGUGUGUGUGUGCGCGAGCGAGCUUGUUCCAAUUGGAAUUUGCAGUUUGCAUUUGCAUGUGUUAUUUUCUGUUGUUGUUUGUUUUUGUGUUUGUGUUUGUUUUUGCACUGCGUGCAUUUUCAUUCAUAAGCGCAUUUUUACAACUUCCGCUCGCAUGAAAGAAGCAGCACAAAUACAAAACAGUUAGCUUUGCGUUCUUUGCCAAUUGCCUUGUGUGUCCGCCUUGCCGCCCGCAGCAGGCUUUGCGUUUACCGUUUCAUAAAUCCAAAUCCUAACGUUCAAUUCGUCGAAUUUUGUUCCUUCCGAUUUUGUUUUUUUUUUUUUUUUCUAUCUAUCUCUUUUUUCGUUUCUCUUCGUUUCUGUUUUGUUAAUGUGUUUCUUCUGUUCAGCGUUUACACGCCGUUUCCUGCGAAUCGUCGAAAAGAAGCCGCUUGCAAAAAUUCAUUUCAAUUCCCAAUGCAGUUUGCGAUCUGUGACGCAGAUGAGAGGCCCAAAAACUGUGGCUAAUUAGCCAAGAUGAAAAAAAAA
Non-coding RNA from Drosophila virilis, 623 nucleotides. The record is from RefSeq and is a predicted model, not a curated record. Lineage: Eukaryota; Metazoa; Arthropoda; Insecta; Diptera; Drosophilidae.